This is a non-coding RNA of Pelobates cultripes (western spadefoot toad), 206 nucleotides long. The record is from the annotation of a GenBank genome assembly. NCBI's taxonomy places the organism in Eukaryota, Metazoa, Chordata, Amphibia, Anura, Pelobatidae.
CCAAGCUAUACAUGUUAAGAUCCUUUAUCCUUUCCUGGUAAGUUUUAUACCGCAAUCCAUGAACCAGUUUAGUAGCCCUUCUCUGAACCCUUCUCUAAGGUAUCAAUAUCCUUCUGAAGAUACGGUCUCCAGUAUUGUGUACAAUACUCCAAGUGAGGUCUCACCAGUGUUCUGUACAAUGGCAUGAGCACUUCCCUCUUUCUACU